CCUGGUGAAAUUAGCGCUGUGGAACCACCCGAUCCCAUCCCGAACUCGGAAGUGAAACGCAGCUGCGCCGAUGGUAGUGUGGCUCAAGCCAUG
RNAcentral lists this ribosomal RNA (93 nucleotides) under Stenotrophomonas maltophilia group sp. RNC7. Lineage: Bacteria; Pseudomonadati; Pseudomonadota; Gammaproteobacteria; Lysobacterales; Lysobacteraceae. The record is from RNAcentral.